GAACACACAUUCACCGCUGAGGCAGCACAGGGAAACUCCUCCACGUCAGAGAAAUGAACAUCACUUUGGGUGUUGGUUUCUCGGCUGUUGUGCCGAGCGUGGACAACGUUUGAUGUCAGAACAAAAGACAAAUUGAGGCAUGAGUCUCUAUAAGCAACAGAUGAGACGUCCGACCACAGCGGCGGCAGCGGCCCCCACUGACGGCUCAGAGUUUCCCCGGAGAGAAAUCCUCUUUGUCUCGGCGGUCCGAGCCGGCGCUUCUUUCAUCGGGAUGUCCCAACAGAAGCUUGCACAAAGUCAACAAAGCCAC
Gasterosteus aculeatus aculeatus (three-spined stickleback) is the source of this 310-nucleotide long non-coding RNA. The record is from Ensembl. NCBI's taxonomy places the organism in Eukaryota, Metazoa, Chordata, Actinopteri, Perciformes, Gasterosteidae.